This 407-nucleotide ribosomal RNA is filed under the name uncultured bacterium. RNAcentral describes it as "partial 16S ribosomal RNA". It matches the Rfam family "Bacterial small subunit ribosomal RNA", at positions 28 to 526 of the family's 1533-position model. The record is from RNAcentral.
GACGAACGCUGGCGGCGUGCCUAAUACAUGCAAGUCGAACGCAGUUGCGAACGGGUGAGUAACGCGUAGGUAACUGCCUCAUAGCGGGGGAUAACUAUUGGAAACGAUAGCUAAUACCGCAUACUGUGAGAUGGACCUGCGUUGUAUUAGCUAGUUGGUGAGGUAAAGGCGCACCAAGGCGACGAUACAUAGCCGACCUGAGAGGGUGAUCGGCCACAACGGGACCGGGAACCGGCCCAGAAGUCUAAGGGGGGCAGCAGGAGGGAAUCUUCGGCAAUGGGCGGAAGGCUGAACGAGCAACGCCGCGGGAGUGAAGAAGGUUUUCGGAGCGGAAAGCUCUUUUGUGAGAGAAGCGGUAACUAAACAGAAAGGGACGGCUAACUACGUGCCAGCAGCCGCGGUAAUUC